RNAcentral lists this ribosomal RNA (403 nucleotides) under uncultured bacterium. RNAcentral's name for it is "bacterial SSU rRNA". It matches the Rfam family "Bacterial small subunit ribosomal RNA", at positions 355 to 774 of the family's 1533-position model. The record is from RNAcentral. RNAcentral also lists the same sequence under 1 other name.
UCGGGAAUAUUGCGCAAUGGAGGGAACUCUGACGCAGUGACGCCGCGUAUAGGAAGAAGGUUUUCGGAUUGUAAACUAUUUUAGACAGGGAAGAAAAAAGACAGUACCUGUAGAAUAAGCUCCGGCUAACUACGUGCCAGCAGCCGCGGUAAUACGUAGGGAGCAAGCGUUAUCCGGAUUUAUUGGGUGUAAAGGGUGCGUAGACGGGAUAACAAGUUAGUUGUGAAAGCCCUCGGCUUAACUGAGGAACUGCAACUAAAACUAUUAUUCUUGAGUGCAGGAGAGGGAAGCGGAAUUCCUAGUGUAGCGGUGAAAUGCGUAGAUAUUAGGAGGAACACCAGUGGCGAAGGCGGCUUUCUGGACUGUAACUGACGUUGAGGCACGAAAGUGUGGGGAGCAAACA